UUCUUAAUCCUUCCCCGACGUGAUAUCCUGAAUAAUUGCUUCACAAUAGCGUCGUGGUUCUUCAUUGUUACGUUGCUUUAAGACGUCGGUAAAUAUGCUGAAUAACUGGUUCACAAUAACAUCGUGUUUUAUUUGAGCGUAGAAAGUGAAGAAAUCACAUUACAAUAUAUUACAAAAUUAAUGUCAUACACUGCCAAUUACAUAAGCAUCAUUCAAUCCAUAUAUCUUCA
Molecule: long non-coding RNA, 230 nt
Filed under: Prunus persica (peach)
Lineage: Eukaryota; Viridiplantae; Streptophyta; Magnoliopsida; Rosales; Rosaceae
Description: long non-coding RNA (PPER_LNC003397)
Source: RNAcentral